RNAcentral lists this long non-coding RNA (417 nucleotides) under Brassica napus (rape). RNAcentral describes it as "long non-coding RNA (BNAP_LNC023373)". The record is from RNAcentral. Lineage: Eukaryota; Viridiplantae; Streptophyta; Magnoliopsida; Brassicales; Brassicaceae.
UGAACCGGGAGCUCAUAUAGAGCAAGUGGACCGGACAUAACCCCCACCUCCAGAGCAGCUUCACCGAGUGAGAGAGCAGCCUGAGCGCCCAACUGAAUACCUGUCUCCAACCAACCAAACUACAUCGCUUCGACAAAAGCUAAGGAAAGCUGAGCGACAACACUAAGGAGAGAAGGACAGCGACGGUGAACGCCACACAUCGAAGCUUUGAGGAGAGCAAACCCGCAAGACACCUCGAACAGGAGUCUGAGUUAACACAUCUCCACGCGCCGCCACCAGAGCUGCCUCCUAGCAAGAGAGCAAGCUCACCGCCGAGGAAGAGCUCCACGCGCAACCACCUCAGACCACGAUGGAUACAAAGCUCGGACAAAGAACCUGAGUUAGAAAUAACCCGGAUCCGAGACCUAGAGGGCCUCA